RNAcentral lists this small RNA (28 nucleotides) under Bombyx mori (domestic silkworm). RNAcentral describes it as "ovarian small RNA-16929". The record is from RNAcentral. Lineage: Eukaryota; Metazoa; Arthropoda; Insecta; Lepidoptera; Bombycidae.
GCGGACGUGCUCAUCGACCACUCGAUCG